RNAcentral lists this ribosomal RNA (1277 nucleotides) under Ripiphorus sp. CO012. RNAcentral describes it as "eukaryotic LSU rRNA". It matches the Rfam family "Eukaryotic large subunit ribosomal RNA", at positions 70 to 1106 of the family's 3401-position model. Lineage: Eukaryota; Metazoa; Arthropoda; Insecta; Coleoptera; Ripiphoridae. The record is from RNAcentral.
UAGGAUUCCCUUAGUAGCUGCGAGCGAACAGGGAAAAGCCCAGCACUGAAUCCUGUUGUUUUUUGCAUACUAGGAAAUGUAGUGUUUGGGAGGAUCCAUUUUCUUUUAAAUAUAUAAUGAGUCCAAGUCCCUCUUGAACGGGGCCACAACCCAUAGAGGGUGCCAGGCCCGUAGUGACCAUUAUUGUUUAUAAGAGGAUCUCUCCUUAGAGUCGGGUUGCUUGAGAGUGCAGCCCUAAGUUGGUGGUAAACUCCAUCUAAGGCUAAAUAUAACCACGAGACCGAUAGCAAACAAGUACCGUGAGGGAAAGUUGAAAAGAACUUUGAAGAGAGAGUUCAAUAGUACGUGAAACCGUUUAGGGGUAAACCUGAGAAACCCAAAGUAUCGACCGAAGAGAUUCAAUACGUUUCAAUUUUAUUGGAUUAUUGUUGCUUGACAGUUGAUGUACGCAUCUCUGCAUCAAUAAUUUUCUUUAACAAUUUUGAACGUAUGCACUUCUCUUCUAGUAGAACGUCGUAAUCCGUUGAGUGUUGGUCUAAGGCUUAUGGUGUAGUCCAUUCAUAUUAUUUGAGUGAACCCAUAAUGUUUCCUGGCCAACUGCUUGACGGUAUAAAUAUUUUUGUCGCUUUUAAAGCGUUUAACAUGUUACAAGAACACUAUUUAUUAGUAAUUGGACUUGGUGCCUUUUCUUUUAAAUAGUGACUGCUGGUAGCAUAGUUCUUAAACAGACAUAAGCCAAUUUACGGCGCUUAAGAUUUGGGUAAUUUCAGGACCCGUCUUGAAACACGGACCAAGAAGUCUAGCAUGUACGCAAGUCAUUGGGAAAUAAUUAAACCUAAAGGCGUAGUGAAAGUAAAGGUUUGCCUCGUGCUUACCGAGGGAGGAUGAGUAUAACUAAGGUUAUUGCUCCGCACUCCCGGGGCGUUUCAUUCUCAUUGCGAGAAGAGGCGCACCUAGAGCGUACACGCUGGGACCCGAAAGAUGGUGAACUAUGCCUGGUCAGGACGAAGUCAGGGGAAACCCUGAUGGAGGUCCGUAGCAAUUCUGACGUGCAAAUCGAUUGUCGGAACUGGGUAUAGGGGCGAAAGACUAAUCGAACCAUCUAGUAGCUGGUUCCCUCCGAAGUUUCCCUCAGGAUAGCUGGCGCUUAUAGCGUAAGAGUUUCAUCUGGUAAAGCGAAUGAUUAGAGGCAUUGGGGUCGAAACGGCCUCAACCUAUUCUCAAACUUUAAAUAGGUGAGAACUCUGGCUUGCUUAAAUUUAUUUUGAAGCCAUGAG